Molecule: ribosomal RNA, 914 nt
Filed under: uncultured marine archaeon
Lineage: Archaea
Description: bacterial SSU rRNA
Rfam family: Archaeal small subunit ribosomal RNA
Source: RNAcentral
UUCCGGUUGAUCCCGCCGGACCUGACUGCUAUCGGAUUGAUACUAAGCCAUGCUAGUCUUUGUAGUAAUACAAGGCAUACGGCUCAGUAACGCGUAGUCAACCUACCCUAUGGACGGGGAUAAUCUCGGGAAACUGAGCAUAAUACCCGACAGACCACUUCUCCUGGAAUGGUUAGUGGUUAAAAUGAUUCGUCGCCAUAGGAUGGGACUGCGGCCUAUCAGCUUGUUGGUGAGGUAAUGGCCCACCAAGGCGAUUACAGGUACGGGCUCUGAGAGGAGAGGCCCGGAGAUGGGUACUGAGACAAGGACCCAGGCCCUAUGGGGCGCAGCAGGCGAGAAAACUUUGCAAUGUGCGAAAGCACGACAAGGUUAAUCCGAGUGAUUUCUGCUAAAGGAAUCUUUUGUUAGUUCUAAAAAUACUAGUGAAUAAGGGGUGGGCAAGUUCUGGUGUCAGCCGCCGCGGUAAAACCAGCACCUCAAGUGGUCAGGAGGAUUAUUGGGCCUAAAGCAUCCGUAGCCUGCUCUGUAAGUUUGCGGUUAAAUCUAUACGCUCAACGUAUAGGCUGCCGUAAAUACUGUAGAACUAGGGAGUGGGAGAGGUAGACGGUACUCGAUAGGAAGGGGUAAAAUCCUUUGAUCUAUUGAUGACCACCUGUGGCGAAGGCGGUCUACCAGAACACGUUCGACGGUGAGGGAUGAAAGCUGGGGGAGCAAACCGGAUUAGAUACCCGGGUAGUCCCAGCUGUAAACGAUGCAGACUCGAUGAUGCAUUGGCAUAUAGCCAGUGCAGUGUCGCAGGGAAGCCGUUAAGUCUGCCGCCUGGGAAGUACGUACGCAAGUAUGAAACUUAAAGGAAUUGGCGGGGGAGCACCACAAGGGGUGAAGCCUGCGGUUCAAUUGGAGUCAACGCCGGG